CCGCGACGGGUGAGUAACGCGUAUGCAACCUACCUAUCAGAGGGGAAUAACCCGGCGAAAGUCGGACUAAUAUCGCAUAAAACAGGGGUUCCACGUGGAAAUAUUUGUUAAAGAAUUAUCGCUGAUAGAUGGGCAUGCGUUCCAUUAGAUAGUUGGUGAGGUAACGGCUCACCAAGUCCACGAUGGAUAGGGGUUCUGAGAGGAAGGUCCCCCACACUGGUACUGAGACACGGACCAG
RNAcentral lists this ribosomal RNA (238 nucleotides) under uncultured bacterium. RNAcentral's name for it is "partial 16S ribosomal RNA". It matches the Rfam family "Bacterial small subunit ribosomal RNA", at positions 102 to 334 of the family's 1533-position model. The record is from RNAcentral.